Molecule: ribosomal RNA, 600 nt
Filed under: Neobacillus bataviensis
Lineage: Bacteria; Bacillati; Bacillota; Bacilli; Caryophanales; Bacillaceae
Description: bacterial SSU rRNA
Rfam family: Bacterial small subunit ribosomal RNA
Source: RNAcentral
UGCAGUCGAGCGAUCUUUAGGAGCUUGCUCCUGAAGGUUAGCGGCGGACGGGUGAGUAUUAAGUGGGCAACCUGCCUAUAAGACUGGGAUAACUUCGGGAAACCGGAGCUAAUACCGGAUAAUCCUUUUCCUCUCAUGAGGGAAAGCUGAAAGAUGGCCUCUCGCUAUCACUUAUAGAUGGGCCCGCGGCGCAUUAGCUAGUUGGUGAGGUAACGGCUCACCAAGGCGACAAUGCGUAGCCAACCUGAGAGGGUGAUCGGCCACACUGGGACUGAGACACGGCCCAAACUCCUACGGGAGGCAGCAGUAGGGAAUCUUCCGCAAUGGACGAAAGUCUGACGGAGCAACGCCGCGUGAACGAUGAAGGCUUUCGGGUCGUAAAGUUCUGUUGUUAGGGAAGAACAAGUAUCGGAGUAACUGCCGGUACCUUGACGGUACCUAACCAGAAAGCCACGGCUAACUACGUGCCAGCAGCCGCGGUAAUACGUAGGUGGCAAGCGUUGUCCGGAAUUAUUGGGCGUAAAGCGCGCGCAGGCGGUCCUUUAAGUCUGAUGUGAAAGCCCACGGCUCACCCGUGGAGGGUCAUUGGAAACUGGGGGA